GUACACUCCUGCGGGAGGCAGCAGUGGGGAAUUUUGCACAAUGGGCGAAAGCCUGAUCCAGCAAUGCCGCGUGAGUGAAGAAGGCCUUCGGGUUGUAAAGCUCUUUUGUCAGGGAAGAAACGGUGAAAGCUAAUAUCUUUUGCUAAUGACGGUACCUGAAGAAUAAGCACCGGCUAACUACGUGCCAGCAGCCGCGGUAAUACGUAGGGUGCAAGCGUUAAUCGGAAUUACUGGGCGUAAAGCGUGCGCAGGCGGUUUUGUAAGUCUGAUGUGAAAUCCCCGGGCUCAACCUGGGAAUUGCAUUGGAGACUGCAAGGCUAGAAUCUGGCAGAGGGGGGUAGAAUUCCACGUGUAGCAGUGAAAUGCGUAGAUAUGUGGAGGAACACCGAUGGCGAAGGCAGCCCCCUGGGUCAAGAUUGACGCUCAUGCACGAAAGCGUGGGGAGCAAACAGGAUUAGAAACCCGGGUAGUCC
Molecule: ribosomal RNA, 473 nt
Filed under: uncultured organism
Description: partial 16S ribosomal RNA
Rfam family: Bacterial small subunit ribosomal RNA
Source: RNAcentral